CAUUGCUGACGAGUCCUACACAGGGCGAAACAGCUGUCCAGGGG
Molecule: non-coding RNA, 44 nt
Filed under: Echinostoma caproni
Lineage: Eukaryota; Metazoa; Platyhelminthes; Trematoda; Plagiorchiida; Echinostomatidae
Source: RNAcentral